GAUGAAGAACGCAGCGAAAUGCGAUAAGUAAUGUGAAUUGCAGAAUUCAGUGAAUCAUCGAAUCUUUGAACGCACAUUGCGCCCGCCAGUAUUCUGGCGGGCAUGCCUGUUCGAGCGUCAUUACAACCCUCAGGCCCCCGGGCCUGGCGUUGGGGAUCGGCGGAAGCCCCCUGCGGGCACAACGCCGUCCCCCAAAUACAGUGGCGGUCCCGCCGCAGCUUCCAUUGCGUAGUAGCUAACACCUCGCAACUGGAGAGCGGCGCGGCCACGCCGUAAAACACCCAACUUCUGAAUGUUGACCUCGAAUCAGGUAUGAAUACCCGCUGAACUUAAGCAUAUCAAUAAGCGGAGGA
Molecule: unclassified non-coding RNA, 353 nt
Filed under: soil metagenome
Description: partial contains 5.8S ribosomal RNA, internal transcribed spacer 2, and large subunit ribosomal RNA
Rfam family: 5.8S ribosomal RNA (bases 1-120)
Source: RNAcentral